CCCCAAAUUCUGGCAUGGGCGGAUGGGUGGGCCAGGACUUUACACUCUUAAAGUAUAAGUAAGGGGUAACUCAGCCGUACGGGUGAAGAUUGUACGGAGCCUCGUGAAUCUGAAUCCAAGAUGCUAAAGGGGAUACCGCGAUCUGAGGGGUCAUGGGGGUUAGCCUGAAGAACAGAACACUCAUUAAGUAUGUGGUGACGCAGGUCCCGACAACCCAAAAAGGUGAGCUGAACCUGAUCCAAUUGGAGCAGUACAGGUAAAGUUAUAUCCUUUCUAUAAAUUGAAAGGUAGUUUGGACAGAUACAUGUCAUUCAAUUGGUGUGGAACGUUAGUCCAAAUGAACCAUUUAUGCUUGGAUGGAAAGUCAAGCAAACGUUGUCAAUGUGUACGUGAAAUUGUCAAAAAACCUCAGCAAUUUCUAUACCCUCUUUGUGCUGAGUAUUGUAGAGGGUGAAGGUGUGU
This 462-nucleotide small RNA is filed under the name Citrus leaf blotch virus. Its description in RNAcentral is "partial non-coding RNA". The record is from RNAcentral. Lineage: Riboviria; Orthornavirae; Kitrinoviricota; Alsuviricetes; Tymovirales; Betaflexiviridae.